RNAcentral lists this ribosomal RNA (465 nucleotides) under uncultured Klebsiella sp. Its description in RNAcentral is "bacterial SSU rRNA". It matches the Rfam family "Bacterial small subunit ribosomal RNA", at positions 338 to 795 of the family's 1533-position model. Lineage: Bacteria; Pseudomonadati; Pseudomonadota; Gammaproteobacteria; Enterobacterales; Enterobacteriaceae. The record is from RNAcentral.
CCUACGGGGGGCAGCAGUGGGGAAUAUUGCACAAUGGGCGCAAGCCUGAUGCAGCCAUGCCGCGUGUGUGAAGAAGGCCUUCGGGUUGUAAAGCACUUUCAGCGGGGAGAAAGGCGGUGAGGUUAAUAACCUCAUCGAUUGACGUUACCCGCAGAAGAAGCACCGGCUAACUCCGUGCCAGCAGCCGCGGUAAUACGGAGGGUGCAAGCGUUAAUCGGAAUUACUGGGCGUAAAGCGCACGCAGGCGGUCUGUCAAGUCGGAUGUGAAAUCCCCGGGCUCAACCUGGGAACUGCAUUCGAAACUGGCAGGCUAGAGUCUUGUAGAGGGGGGUAGAAUUCCAGGUGUAGCGGUGAAAUGCGUAGAGAUCUGGAGGAAUACCGGUGGCGAAGGCGGCCCCCUGGACAAAGACUGACGCUCAGGUGCGAAAGCGUGGGGAGCAAACAGGAUUAGAUACCCCGGUAGUC